RNAcentral lists this non-coding RNA (23 nucleotides) under Cricetulus griseus (Chinese hamster). Lineage: Eukaryota; Metazoa; Chordata; Mammalia; Rodentia; Cricetidae. The record is from RNAcentral.
UUGAUGUUGGACGUUUCGUGGAA